Molecule: long non-coding RNA, 294 nt
Filed under: Monodelphis domestica (gray short-tailed opossum)
Lineage: Eukaryota; Metazoa; Chordata; Mammalia; Didelphimorphia; Didelphidae
Description: lncRNA (ENSMODG00000044716.1)
Source: RNAcentral
CUAGCUACUUAAUUAUUGUUUUUUGACAUUGACUCUACUAUUGCAGAGAGUUUUCAUUUGGCAGUUCCUUUCAAGAGGACAAUCCUGAAAGAUUAAUUAGGAGACAGAACUGUUGAUGUCAUCUUUCACAUGCUUUGCAGAGGGCAUGUAGCUGCUCAUUACCCUGAAACACAAAUCCUGUGUGCAAACUGGCCCUGAAUCUGUAUUCUGGGACUCAAUAAGGGACAACAAGUCUUCCAGAAAGCAGCCUUUCCCAUGCUGGUACUGUGCCACCUGUUUGCCCUGGAUGCUGUA